This 120-nucleotide ribosomal RNA is filed under the name Pteropus alecto (black flying fox). Lineage: Eukaryota; Metazoa; Chordata; Mammalia; Chiroptera; Pteropodidae. The record is from RNAcentral.
GUCUACGGCCACACCACCCUGAACGUGUCCGAUCUCGUCCGAUCUCGGAAGCUAAGCAGGGUCGGGCCUGGUCAGUACUCGGAUGGGAGACCACAGAGGAAGACCAGGUAGUUAAAAAAA